Long non-coding RNA from Bos taurus (domestic cattle), 996 nucleotides. The record is from Ensembl. NCBI's taxonomy places the organism in Eukaryota, Metazoa, Chordata, Mammalia, Artiodactyla, Bovidae.
GGCUGAUACAGUCACUCCAUCUGGUUCUCAAUGUCAGAACCACCACUUCAGGGUGAGAACGAGGCCCAGGCAGGACAAGUCCUAUAUCACCACUCCAGAAAAGAAGACCUGGCCUACAUCCCCAAAACUGUGACGCCUGCCUGAGAUGUGACGGAAGGAGGCAGCGGCACUCAAGGAAUUAUUUUAACUGGGAAAAACAAGGAAAGAACUUCAGAAGGUCAACUGUGUUGCGAGGACUUUUGAAACUGUGCCAAAACGCCAUCCUCAUCAGUGCGGGCGCCAUAACAGAUAUACCACAGACGGCGAGGCUGAGACCAGACACUUACUUUUCACAGCUCUGGGGGCUGGACAUCCAAGAUCAAGGUCCGGCAGUUUCAGUGUUUCACGAGCUCUUGUCCUCAUCUUCCCGCUGAGCCCUCACCUAGUGAAGAGCAGAGACAAGCAGCUAGUUCUUUCCUGCCUGUUCUUAUAAGAGCAUGAAUCCAAUCACGAGGUCCUUGCUCUCAACUUAAUUACCCCCUCAAGGCCCCACUCCAAAUACCACCUCAUUAUCUCAUUAGGGAUUAGGGUUUCAACAUGUGAAUCUGGGGGGGGCUCAAACAGUCUGUAACAUACAUUAACACAAAAGGUGGACAGUGCACUGGCAUUUGGCACUUUCUGAGAUGCCAUUUGUUGGGCAUUCUUCCAGGAUACCUGUGACUAAUCAUGCAAAAGAAAGUGAAAGUGAAGUCGCUCAGUCGUGUCUGACUCUUUGCGACCCCGCGGACUGCAGCCCACCAGGCUCCUCUGUCCAUGGGACUCUCUAAGCAAGAAUACUGGAGUGGGUUGCCAUUUCCUUCUCCAGGGGAUCUUCCAGACCCAGGAAUCGAACCCAGGUCUCCCACAUAGUGGGCAGACGCAGGCAGACGCUUUAACCUCUGAGCCAAGAAUCCCUUAAUCUUGCAGACCUGUGAAGUAAGUAGUAGUAUCCCUGUCUCAUGGAACUAAGGCCCAGAG